Molecule: ribosomal RNA, 497 nt
Filed under: uncultured bacterium
Lineage: Bacteria
Description: partial 16S ribosomal RNA
Rfam family: Bacterial small subunit ribosomal RNA
Source: RNAcentral
GAUGAACGCUGGCGGCGUGCCUAAUACAUGCAGGUCGAGCGAACGGACGAGAAGCUUGCUUCUCUGAUGUUAGCGGCGGACGGGUGAGUAACACGUGGAUAACCUACCUAUAAGACUGGGAUAACUUCGGGAAACCGGAGCUAAUACCGGAUAAUAUUUUGAACCGCAUGGUUCAAAAGUGAAAGACGGUCUUGCUGUCACUUAUAGAUGGAUCCGCGCUGCAUUAGCUAGUUGGCAAGGUAACGGCUUACCAAGGCAACGAUGCAUAGCCGACCUGAGAGGGUGAUCGGCCACACUGGAACUGAGACACGGUCCAGACUCCUACGGGAGGCAGCAGUAGGGAAUCUUCCGCAAUGGGCGAAAGCCUGACGGAGCAACGCCGCGUGAGUGAUGAAGGUCUUCGGAUCGUAAAACUCUGUUAUUAGGGAAGAACAUAUGUGUAAGUAACUGUGCACAUCUUGACGGUACCUAAUCAGAAAGCCACGGCUAACUACGUG